UCAGUAAAAUCCUUGAAUUUGUUGCAUGUUUUGCUAUUAUUUUUUUGUCAGUAGUUAACAAUGCUAAUAAUACCAUUAUGAGGCAAUGUAAGACUUAAUGUUAUGUUCAGAAAUGUGUAAGCCUAAUAGCAUAUUUGUUAACAUUUACAAAAUGUAUGCCAAAAUGUUGUUUAAAUAAAAAUACUUUUAGUUUUACCACCGUCCAUACCUGAAGUUUUUGCCGCUGUUUGUCGUCUCCAAACUCGCGCGCAUGGGCAUCAUUACUUCCGGGCAAAGCACAGGCAGCUGGCGUGACUGGACCAACAUGUAAAAAAUGUCUACAGCCCAGUCAGCUGCCCGUGAUUUGCAUCACGUUCAUGCGCUCGAGUUUGGAGACGACCAGAAGGCGCCAAAGCGUAUCUUUAGUUUGCAGGUGUACAAUGAAAUUAAACUGGACGUGGAUGCAGGUCAUGAAUUCAUAUCAGCAAGAUAUUGGGGAUCUGCAGCUCAGUGAUCCAUCACCCUCGUAUUUGUGUGUUAGAACAUUACAGCGAGCGGACCAGAGUGUCGCUGGUUUAAAUCCCAAGUCUGAUGGGAAACUAAUUGAGUGUGAUUCUAGCCAAGCUCCAUGGCAACCCUAUAACACCCAGCAGACCUCCACGCCACCACUGUCCCCACCACCCAAUAAUCCCCUCAUGGUCUGUCUCCAUCCUAAAACAAGUGGAGAAGUUCCACAGUGACAGGUUUACAGUCAUCAAAGCACAUAUGUAACCUCUCUACUCUCCAGGGUCUGAGAAUACCUUGUUUUUUUUACAGCCACAGGCAAUAGAGAGCUUAUCUUAAAAAAGGGUAUCUCACAACCUUUAUGUCCAUGUGGACAGUAUCAGAUAUGCAUAAUCUAUAUUAUAUUACCUCCAAUCUACAUUAUAUGACCCUUUGUUUAAACUGUGAUGUUCUUGUCUACUCAUCUUAUGUACUAUGUCAUGUUUUAAUGUUUUGUGUGGAUCCCCAGAAAGUGUAGCUGGUGCUUUAGCCGUAGCUAAUGGGGGAUGCCAAAAUAAAUGUUGUUAGAUUGGGUUGGGUUUGUAGCCAGUAAACAAAGGAUGUGUUUUUGAUUUAGAUUUCUCAGUUUUUCUAGACUGACAAGAUAUUGAGAUGUUGAAAGAGGACGUGGGUCCAUGCAUCCCAACUGUACAGUUUGGACUUCGGCAAUCCUCAAAAAACGCUUAGGCGGCACGCCCAAGGAUUUCAAUGGCAGAGAAAUCCCAGUGUAUGUGUGCGUGCCUGUAUAUGUGCGUGCUUGCUGUACUCGUGAAGGUUUGUGGUGGCCUGUUAUCUGAGGCGUGGCGUGUUGGAGCACUAUGAUGGAAUAUGAUGGAAUACGCAGAAUGGUCGGCCUGCCAGUCUCAAGGUUCUCCUCUCCAGAGCUGAUGGCCUUUAGAACUCCCUGUGACCUUAGACAGGAAACCCAGUUUCUACUCUACAUCCUAAUCCCCCUGUGACUCCAAACCACUGGAUUACCUCAUUCCUCAUCAGUCAGUCCGUCUCACGGUGGUAAUCUCAGUCUUUCCUGCUUACGUCCAUAUCAUUGUUUAAAUGUAAUGUAUUGAGAGAGUAUUAAAGGCAUUUUAAAAAA
This is a non-coding RNA of Oncorhynchus mykiss (rainbow trout), 1615 nucleotides long. Lineage: Eukaryota; Metazoa; Chordata; Actinopteri; Salmoniformes; Salmonidae. The record is from RefSeq and is a predicted model, not a curated record.